CCUUCGGUAGCUCAGUUGGUAGUGCGGAGGACUGUAGAUCCUUAGGUCGCUGGUUCAAAUCCGGCUCAAAGGA
This 73-nucleotide transfer RNA is filed under the name Nothobranchius furzeri (turquoise killifish). RNAcentral describes it as "tRNA-Tyr (GTA) (tRNA-Tyr-GTA-4-1)". It matches the Rfam family "tRNA". From Rfam's summary of the family: Transfer RNA (tRNA) molecules are approximately 80 nucleotides in length. Their secondary structure includes four short double-helical elements and three loops (D, anti-codon, and T loops). Lineage: Eukaryota; Metazoa; Chordata; Actinopteri; Cyprinodontiformes; Nothobranchiidae. The record is from RNAcentral.